GGAGGAGGAGUCAGGGCAGGGGAGGGACGCCCAGGUGUGUGUAACCUGCACAGGUGAGUGCCCAGGUAUAGCCCAGGUGUGUGUAACCCGCACAGGUGAGUGCCCAGGUAUAGCCCAGGUGUGUGUAACCCCCACAGGUGAGUGCCCAGGUAUAGCCCAGGUGUGCCCAGGUGUGUGUAACCCCCCACCAGGUGAGUGCCCAAGUAUAACCCAGGUGUUCCCAGGUGUGUGUAACCCGCACAGGUGAGUGCCCAGGUAUAGCCCAGGUGUGUGUAACCCGCACAGGUGAGUGCCCAGGUAUAACCCAGGUGUGUGUAACCC
Molecule: long non-coding RNA, 321 nt
Organism: Ficedula albicollis (Collared flycatcher)
Lineage: Eukaryota; Metazoa; Chordata; Aves; Passeriformes; Muscicapidae
Exons: 3
Source: RefSeq, a predicted model, not a curated record